Molecule: long non-coding RNA, 2551 nt
Filed under: Heterocephalus glaber (naked mole-rat)
Lineage: Eukaryota; Metazoa; Chordata; Mammalia; Rodentia; Bathyergidae
Description: lncRNA (ENSHGLG00100039628.1)
Source: RNAcentral
UGCCUGUUACCUUCCAGCAUUUGUUAGUUAUACUGUUUUGUUCUGUCUCAAUGCACAUUUCAUUUUGCAACACAAUAUCUGAUUAUUUAAGGUUAAUUCCAUAAUUAAAUGGAGUUAGCUCACCACAUGUCCUUAGCUAUAGUUCUUCCAUGCCUGAUGCCUUUAUUUUAAUUCAUCUUUUGGGGGUGUGAUGGAGGCUGGAAUUUUUAUUUUUGUAGUGCUGGUUCCCAUUUAGUUAAUCAUGCUGAUGAUUUGUGCAGGAAAUUUAGCAGUUUUACUUUUCUUUAAUAGAUAAAAAAGCUUUUAUUUCUAAAAUGUGGCUUAAUCACACCCACAAUGUGCUAGGCUGGUCUUGGAAUGGACCCUGCACCACUGAGCAAUCAGAGAAGGCACAGUCAGGGCGCCCAGUCCUGGGCACCAAGGUGUCAGUCCUCUGGCAACUCAGUCUACAGUUUUUCCUCAGCUGCUUUUUGUGAUGUCCAGUGGGUCAUGCUGUAAUGCUCUGUAUGACAGGUCUGACCUUGAGGAAGAAUGGCAGCCCACAUCCUAUGCUUUUAUGGGCUUAAUGAUACGGCCUGGCUCGAUGACUUCUAGUGGUGGUGAACUUUUGGAAGGUCCUCUGGUGUUCCAUGAGUACCCUGCAGAGGUCUGGAUGGUCCUUUCAAAUUGCUGAUGGUGAGUGAAUGGGUAUGGAAGCACUGGUACCUGAAGAGCUGCUGCAUGGAUGCUGUGCUUCGCAUUGAUAAUCACUUUUGGUAAAUGUUAGUCUUGCAGGACCUUCAGGGGCUUUAACAAGAUGCCGGCGUCUUUUCUGGGCACUGGGGUUCAGGCCUACGCCACCCCACUUGCCCCAGCGAGGCAGCGUCAGGACCACAUCCUUUGGCUUACUUGUCCUCAUAGCCUCCCUCAUCUCUUUCAAGAAAUCUCUAAUUACAUCACCUCCAGCAAAAGCUUCCUUUAUCAUUUGCUUUAGGUUUCUCUCCUCUUCAUCUUCCAAUUCCUCUAUUGCUAUGGGAAUGGCCCAAGACUUCACGGAAGGAGAUUUUGUAGUUAGGAGGUUCUGGAGGUCAAUCAUUUGCUCCUUCUUUUUUUCCCCCCGCUUAGGAGUCUAGUUAUUUGGGUUUCUCUUCACUCAUUCUCAUUCUAACAAAGGUCUGGGAAGCUCCUUAUUUUGAAAAUAUUCUUCUUUGCCCAGGUCUUCUAGUUCUUCCAGAAUCUACACUUUCUCUGGCCUCUGAAGCAACAGAUUCUUCUUCUAGGGCACAUUCCUCUCUCUGGAUCUGAGGAAAGGUCCCUGCUGGUCCCAGUUUCCUGGCAUGACAACUUUUUUGUUGAGUUUCUGAUUCAACACCCUCAAUUUGGAUAUGUUCUGGCUGCUAGAAUCUUUUGUUUCUUGGCUGCCCACUGGCUCAUCCUGGUUGAUCUCACAUCUUUUUCUAAGGAAUCACCUUUCCUGAAAUUCUUCCAACAGAAUUUCUUUCUCUGCUGGUGAUCUUUCAUCUUCCUCACUUUUAGAAAACUACUGGACAACAGGCUCAGGUAGUUGUUCAGGGCCUCUCUGGAUUUAAUCUUCUUUUGUAUUACUGUUACAAUUCCUAAGCAUCCAAGGAUUUGGCCCAUCUGCACACAUCUGUGCUUCAUUCACUAAUCAGGGACAAGCGGGUCCUCCUCUUCAGCACUGCUCUCCUCUUCCUCACUCUCUGAGAUUACCUGGAGUUUCUGGGUCAGUUCUUUGUUCUCAGCCAACUGUUCUUGCACAGCAGCCAAUGAUUAUGAAGUUCUAAAAGGCUCAAGAAGAUCUGAAAGGACCAGCUUUUCUCCUGAUCCUUUAGAGCUCACAAUGAAAUCUGAUACCUUCCAAGUAGCCUCAGAUGUCUCAGCCAAUUUCCACCUGUUCGUUGUUUAUUUUUUUUUGGUACGGGGAAUCGAACUCAGGGCCUUGCGCUUGUGAGGCAGGCCCUGCCCUACUUCCACCUAUUCUUUUCACCAAGAGAACCGACUGCUUUCAGAAGCUGGUGAUGCUCUCUCUCCAUCUCUGUCCCCCGUCUUCACGGCACUCAAGGGGAAGCUGCCUCUGAGCCCACAGGCUCUUCCUGCUGGCUUCAAGCCAUGAGGCCCUCGCAGCCCGGACUGCGUCCGUCCGUCCAGGCAGCCUACAGCCUACAUCAGCCGUACGGGCUGGGCGGAAGCUCUGUCCUGAUUGAGGAACCAGAUUUUUGUUUCAUGGACUUCCUCCAUUGUUUUUGUUUUAGAGUUUACCGAUUUUCACUUUGAUCCCGUCUUAGUCCAUUUUCCAUUCCUUAGCUCACAUCUUCACGUGUGGCAGAUCAGCCGUCACCAGUCGAAAGGUUCCUGAAUGGGGGAAAGGAGGACUGAGAAAAUAAGACAAAGAGACAGAGUCAGGAGGGCUCCCAAGACCGAGCUUAAGGAAAAAGAAAGACACAGAGACAGAGUCGGGAGGGCUCCCUGAGACCGAGCAAGCAAGUUUAUUUUCACCUCUCUUUUAUACACUCAGUGAGUUAGGUCAUUAACCAUGACCUUUAUCCAAAAC